Acanthopagrus latus (yellowfin seabream) is the source of this 918-nucleotide long non-coding RNA. RefSeq lists it as uncharacterized. NCBI's taxonomy places the organism in Eukaryota, Metazoa, Chordata, Actinopteri, Spariformes, Sparidae. The transcript is spliced from 4 exons. The record is from RefSeq and is a predicted model, not a curated record.
CUGCUGCUCAUCAGCCUCAACUGUGUCUGUGGAACAUUUGUAGUGAAUGUGACACAGACCUCCUAUCAGGCAGAGGAGAACCACAACAUCACACUGGAAUGGACGUUCACAACCACAGCUGACACUUCAACAGACUCCCUUUUAAUAUUCUGUGAGAUGAGAACUGAUCACAAAGUCUCAGUCCUGUUUUUACUACAAGGAGGUGUUGUGGUCCCAGAGUCUCAGGAUCAGCAGUUUGUAGGACGAGUCCAUUUGGACAAAGAUGCCCUCAGUGACGGACGACUCAGACUUCAUGUGUCCAGACUCAGCACUGAGGACUCAGGCUGGUACCUGUGUGAUGUGAGGACAAACUAUGGUGUGGACUCAGGUGAAUGUCGGCUCAACGUCUCUGAUGCAGAACACACAGCAGGAGGGCAGAAGAGGGAAGUGACAUCACACGAUUGGAGCAAAGUUGAAAUGGUUCUCAGAGCCGUUCCCUUUGGAGCAUUAUUAUUCGCUAAUCUAAUAGUUCUCUUCAUUGCAGCUGAAAGAUUUUUGGCAGCUGUCAUUCAUCAAGGUAAUAAUAGUAAAAAAGAUGAAAAUCACAACAAAUCUGCUCAUACUGACAACUGCAAUCAUGUUAAAAGAGAUUUGUUUCUGAGUUCUGUGAGCUGCUGAUGUACAGGAACAGAUCUAUGGUCUGAUAUUUCAUUGGUUUGAUGACGAACUGACAAACAUAUGUGUGAUUCAUGACACAAUUCAGACAGGAUCAAUGUGAAUGUGUCUGACAGCAGGCAGCCUCUUGAAACUGUCAGUGAACAUCAGGUCUCAUCAUGUUGUACUGCAGCUGUCAGGUCAAAGUGCAGAUUGAUGUGAAAAGGAUCCACUGCAUUAUGACUCAACAUAACUGGAACAUUAACAACAGAAGCAGUUCACCAG